GCCGCGAUAGCUCAGCUGGUAGAGCGCUGGACUGAAAAUCCAUAUGUCGUCAGUUCGACUCUGACUCGUGGCA
Molecule: transfer RNA, 73 nt
Filed under: Treponema sp.
Lineage: Bacteria; Pseudomonadati; Spirochaetota; Spirochaetia; Treponematales; Treponemataceae
Also listed under: 1 other name
Description: tRNA-Phe
Rfam family: tRNA
About the family: Transfer RNA (tRNA) molecules are approximately 80 nucleotides in length. Their secondary structure includes four short double-helical elements and three loops (D, anti-codon, and T loops).
Source: RNAcentral